CUUCAGCGAGCCCAGCCGCAGCGGUUCCGCGUCGCCGCGUCCCACUCCGUACGUGGCGAGCAGCGCCUGGGCCUC
RNAcentral lists this antisense RNA (75 nucleotides) under Micromonospora aurantiaca (nom. illeg.). RNAcentral describes it as "Micromonospora aurantiaca ASpks TB sRNA". It matches the Rfam family "ASpks TB sRNA". The record is from RNAcentral. Lineage: Bacteria; Bacillati; Actinomycetota; Actinomycetes; Micromonosporales; Micromonosporaceae. RNAcentral also lists the same sequence under 1 other name.